Psammomys obesus (fat sand rat) is the source of this 4895-nucleotide long non-coding RNA. RefSeq lists it as uncharacterized. Lineage: Eukaryota; Metazoa; Chordata; Mammalia; Rodentia; Muridae. The record is from RefSeq and is a predicted model, not a curated record. The transcript is spliced from 2 exons.
GUUUGUUGCUCUAGGCCACUAAGUGUUUAGAGGGAUUGCUUACACAGUUACUGAACUAGCCUAUAGUCAGACGAUGGCAGCCCACAUCUUCAAUCUCAGCACUCAAGGGGGCAAAGGCAGAAGGAUCUCUAAAUUCUGAGGCCAGCCUGGUCUACAGAGCUAGUUCCAGGACAGCCAGGUCUACACAGAGAAACCCUGUCUUGAAAAACCAAAAAGAAAAAGCAAAAGCCUAUAAUUGCUGGUUAAUAAAAAGUUAUAUAAUAGCUAUAUGCACUGAAAUAUAUUACUAUAUAUUUUAGUAUUAUAUUUUUAUAUAUAUAUAUAAAAUAUAUAUAUUUUAUAUAUAUACUAUAUAUAUUUAGUAUUAUAUUUUUUUAGUAUUAUAAAUUAUUUAUAUUUAUAUUAUAAAUUAUAUUUAGUAUUAUAUUAUAUUUAGUAUUAUAUAUAUAUAUAUAAUUACUAAAUAUAUUACUAUAUUCAGGAAUACUUUAAGAAAACUCAUGGAAGCCAGGUGCAGUGGUGACUGCCUUUAAUCCCAGAACCUAGGGAGGCGGAGGCAAGCGGAUCUCUGUGAGUUCGAGGCCAGCGUGGUCUACCAAGCAAGUCCAGGACAGUCAAGGCUACACAGAAAAAGCCUUUUUCAAACCAUCCCCCUCCUAAAAAAAGAAAAAGCAUGGAAAGCCAUGGAUUCAUUCACUUCUCAUAAGGGGGUUUUAGCCCUGCCCCCACUGCACAGGUGAUAAAAUUGUUAACUCAUCCUAGGUCACACUGACUGGCUCCAAAUCCCAGCAGUGGUGCCCCAUUGCUUCCGCUCGCCCAGAGGGAGGAAACCACAUCACUCUCAACUGCUGUCUCCAAGGCAGUCCUGCCCCUUACAGAGUCAGUGAGUGCUGGGUGACGAGGAACCGGGAUCUAAUUCCCCAGUCCCUUCCCCACUCCAUGACCUGUCUCCCUCCAUGUUCAGGGUUUCCUCUGAGCUGAAGGAACUAUUUUUCUGUCCUGCUCAUAGCCACCAUCCCAGAAUCCUUUGACCUCAGGUCUUUCCUGCAACCUUUGCUGGAUGCAAGUUCAGGCAAUACCACUGUCCCCUGGAAAGGAAGUGCUUGGGCUUGGCAUGUCAGUACUGCCCUUUGGCCUUGUGUCCCAGGCUGACAGUGCAAAAAAUAAGAAUGGUUUAUUUACCCGGGAUCUUUGAACUUCCACUCAUUCCAAGGGAGUCAAAUCAGAAAACGGAUGUGAAAUGGCCGUUUAAAUGUUAAGAGAAAGAGGGAUGAGGAUGUAACGAUGUGGAGCGCCUGUUCCGGCUUCAGGAGAGACUCAUUUCAGCUUCCGUAAAUGCCAGGCUGGGCGCUGGCCCCAAGGCCAAUUGGAUAUGACUUCAAAACCCUGCAGUUCCUCUGUGCGUGCAUGCCUGCAUGCUUGUGUGUGUGUGUAUGUGUGUAGAUCAGAGGUUAUCCUUAUGCACCAUCUGUCUUUGUUUUUGUUUUUCGAGACAGGGUUUCUCUGUGUAGCCUUGGCUGUCCUGGAACUAGCUCUCUAGACCAGGCUGGCCUUGAACUCACAGACAUCCAUCUGCCUCUGCCUCCAAGGUGCUGGGAUUAAAGGCGUGAGCCACCACCACCACCUGGCUCAGGCUUUGGGGUUUUAAAGAUCUCGUGCCUUUCCCAGCUUGCUCUUCCUGCUUCCUGAUGAUGGGUUCCAAUGUGCCCGCUGCACCCCUCCACCUGCUCUCUGUGUCCCUUCUAUCCCCUGCCUUCAACUCCAUUCUUUAUUGUCACUGUCUUAAGUAUACAAGGCUGGGAUGUCUCGGCUGGUGGAGUCCUCUGUAGCACGCACAAGCCUUAGUUUCAUCUCCAGUCCGAUAUAAGUCAGGCAUGGUGGCACGAGUCUGUCAUCCCAGCCCGCAGAAGAUGAGGCGGAAGGGUUCUGAUUUGCAAACAUCUGUAAUCCCACAACCUAAAUUCUACCAGGAACAUUUUCCUAUUUUUGCGUCAGUGAAUUUUACUAUCCAUCAUGUGUCUUCAUUUUGAUCAGCUCAAGACCCAGAACUGAGGACUCAUAGGUCCCUUCUACCCACAGGAGGUAGAGCAAUGGGAGGCCCUUUUUUCAGUCCACCACCGCAGGCCUUGUGACAACCCACCGCUCACCUCCCUCAGCCAAAGGCUCUCUCAGUGGAGCUGUUCUGGGGAGCACCUAAGCAGCUAAACUCACCAGUGACCCCUCUUAUUGCUAUGGUGGCUGGCCAAGUACAGGGACAGUUUGGUUUAACUUCUCUCUCAUUUUAAAAAAGAUUUAUCUUAAUAAAUAUAUUUCAUAUAUAUUUUUAAACCCAUAGCACUGGUAACCCAGGCAGUCUCCCAUGGGAUCAGGUGCAUACGGGGUCAUAUGGUUCAAGACACAUGCAGUUUCUACAGAGGCCAUAAGAGGGCGCUAUGUCCCCAGGAACCUGAGUUAACAGACGGCUGUGGGCUGAUGUGUAGGUGCUGGGAAUUGAACCUGGGACCUCUGGCAACAGCAGCAAAUGCUCUUACCCACUGAGCCACCUCUCCAGACCCUGCAUAACUCACUUAAGUGGUUCAGGGUGGCCCAGAAUUCAGGUGACCCUCAGCUUUCCAAAUACUGAGAUUCCAAGUGUGAGCCUGGCUACCCAAUCUAAUUUUACCAUUUAUUUAUAGUGUGUGUGUGUUUGUGUGUGUGUGUUUGUGUGUGUGUUUAAAGCAUGCACAUGGAGGUUAUAGGUCAGCCCUGUGGAGUUGAUUCUUUUAUCUCUGUGAGUUCUUGGGACUGAUCUCCCCAGGCCGCUCUCUAUGAAAAACCAUCCAGUCAGUAUUCAGAUACCCUCUGACCAGCAUAGGACACUGAUAAUAGGACCGGGGGCCACCGUGAUGCUCCACAGUGACAUCCCACAAGUGGGAGGUGGGAGGCAGGGCCCCCAGCACAGGCUCACUUGCACUGGGCUGUGCUUCCCAGGCAGCUGGGAGAAGGGCCCUUGCCAGAGCCUCUAAUGAGGCCUUCAGCUCCACCGAGAAGACACAGCUGUCCGAGGGCCAAAGGCCAAGCCUUGGCUGCAUCCACCAGCCCUGACCCCAGGCACUUAGUCAGCAAGAUCAUCACAGCUGCCAGCUCCUGGGGGCUCAUGUCUGCUAACAGCUGGCUCUGGCCAGGGUGUGUCCAGAGCUGAAGAGUGGGAAGUGUGGAGGGACCACGAAGAGCCCACCUAACUCCGUUUUCUCCUUUACUCCCUGCUCUUCCUUCCACUAGGCCUGUCAGCAGAACCCUAAACAGGUAGGAAGAUUGAAGACACCUGUGGCUAGAUUCCUACCAUCUCAGGCUCUGGUUCUGAAUGAAAGAGGGAAACAGAAAGGCCAAGUGACCAUAAGGACCUUGGCAAGGGAUGUCUCUCUGCCUUGUUAGGAUCCUGGUCUCUGGAUGGUACAGCCAAAAACAAACAAACAAACAAACAAAAACAGUCCUGGGAAGAAUGGGAGGGACAGAUCAGGCAAGUACUGGGGUCAGGGGUCAGGCCGGGCAGGGGAAGGAACCUUGACUUCAAGUGAUCGGUCCUGUUCCAAAUCAAGCAAUACACUCACCAGAGCCAGGGGCGGGGAGCCCCUUGGGUGCCGGAUGUGUUCUGGAGAAGAGCAGGUAGGCCGGGAGAAGCAUCGUCUCUGCCUGGGGCUAUUUCUCUGUUCUUUCUUGGUUACAGGCGGCACAGGCCCUUGCCCUGCACCCGAGCCACGAGCCACGGCUGGAUUCCCUUAUUCCCACCUUCUUUCCUCCAGUUUGGAGCACUUCAGGCACUCCCCUUAUCCUCCAUCCUCCUUCCUGGGUUCCCAGCUGGGCCGGAGAGAGCUGAGCCAUUUUCUUUCAAGGAAGCCUGAAAGUUCUAAACAUUGGAAAGGAGUGUGUAUAUCGGGGUGGGGGGGGCGGUGUUGCUGAGCAAGUCGGAAUCUGAAUGCUUCCUUGAUGAGGAUCAGGGAAGACAUGGCAAGUAACUGAAACCCUCGUGUCCUCUUCAGCAUGAUUGACCGCCAGGCAGGUCAGAGGCCAGGUGUGGCUGGGAUAUUGACCUCCAGGUUAACCUACUAGCCAGAGCUUUCAACCAGAAAAUCCUCUAUGAGGGUUAAUGUUCCUUGCCAACUUGUCAGAUCUGGAAUUACCUAGAAGAUAAGCCUCCAGGCACAGCUGUUGGGGAUUAUGCGGCUUCUGGACAGGCUUAUGCAAAGGAUACCUGUGACCUGCUGCUUCAAGUUCCUGAAGCCUAAACUUUCCUGUCAUGAUGGACCCUGAACUGUGACCCAAGACAAGCUGUUCCCGUCCUUGAGUCACUGUGGUGGCUAAAGCUUUUCCAGGUUGAAAUUACUUGAAAUUAAGAGAUCUAAAGAAACAAAAAUGCCCCAACCUGUAAGCCCCACUUGGCAAGGACUGAUAACUUCCUGGAAUUCUGGGGGCUGCUGUUCAUGUAAAAUGACAAGCUAUGUGUUUUCACUUCUGUAAGCAAGCUUGGUUGCCCCAACUGCACAGGACAUCCGUGACCAUCUGAAGGUGGAAAGUUUAUGGGCAAGAAGUACUUGAGGAGCCGGGCAUGGUAGCCCACGCCUUUGAUCCCAGCACUUGGGAGGCAGAGGCAGGUGGAUUGCUGUGAGUUCCAGACCAGUUUGGUCUACAAAGCAAGUCCAGGACAGCCUCAAAAAACCAAAAAAGAACAAAAGAAGUGCUUGAGGACAUAUGCUUGUCCCUGAUUGGACGAAUGUGGGAAGGACAGAACCUUAUGGGUCUUUCCUUUGAGCUCCUGUCUAAUGUAAUUUGAUGCUCUUGGGAGAGUAUGGACCUGGCCAGUGUCCAUCAUCCUGGCCAGUAUUCAAUAAAGCUUGCUUCAAAUUUGGCCCCAAAAA